GCCCUAGUAACGGCGAGUGAAGCGGCAACAGCUCAAAUUUGAAAUCUGGCGUCUUCGGCGUCCGAGUUGUAAUUUGCAGAGGGCGCUUUGGCAUUGGCAGCGGUCCAAGUUCCUUGGAACAGGACGUCACAGAGGGUGAGAAUCCCGUACGUGGUCGCUAGCCUUUACCGUGUAAAGCCCCUUCGACGAGUCGAGUUGUUUGGGAAUGCAGCUCUAAAUGGGAGGUAAAUUUCUUCUAAAGCUAAAUACUGGCCAGAGACCGAUAGCGCACAAGUAGAGUGAUCGAAAGAUGAAAAGCACUUUGGAAAGAGAGUUAAAAAGCACGUGAAAUUGUUGAAAGGGAAGCGCUUGCAGCCAGACUUGCCUGUAGUUGCUCAUCCGGGUUUUUACCCGGUGCACUCUUCUAUAGGCAGGCCAGCAUCAGUUUGGGCGGUUGGAUAAAGGUCUCUGUCAUGUACCUCUCUUCGGGGAGAACUUAUAGGGGAGACGACAUGCAACCAGCCUGGACUGAGGUCCGCGCAUCUGCUAGGAUGCUGGCGUAAUGGCUGUAAGCGGCCCGUCUUGAAACACGGACCAAGGAGUCUAACAUCUAUGCGAGUGUUUGGGUGUCAAGCCCGAGCGCGUAAUGAAAGUGAACGGAGGUGGGAACCUUUCGGGGUGCACCAUCGACCGAUCCUGAUGUCUUCGGAUGGAUUUGAGUAAGAGCAUAGCUGUUGGGACCCGAAAGAUGGUGAACUAUGCUUGAAUAGGGUGAAGCCAGAGGAAACUCUGGUGGAGGCUCGCAGCGGUUCUGACGUGCAAAUCGAUCGUCAAAUUUGGGCAUAG
RNAcentral lists this ribosomal RNA (825 nucleotides) under Didymella glomerata. RNAcentral describes it as "eukaryotic LSU rRNA". It matches the Rfam family "Eukaryotic large subunit ribosomal RNA", at positions 77 to 920 of the family's 3401-position model. Lineage: Eukaryota; Fungi; Ascomycota; Dothideomycetes; Pleosporales; Didymellaceae. The record is from RNAcentral.